Molecule: ribosomal RNA, 253 nt
Filed under: uncultured prokaryote
Description: partial 16S ribosomal RNA
Rfam family: Bacterial small subunit ribosomal RNA
Source: RNAcentral
UACGUAGGGGGCAAGCGUUGUCCGGAGUUACUGGGCGUAAAGGGCUCGCAGGCGGUCCACCGCGUCAAGAGUGCCAGCUGUCGGCUUCACCGACAGAGUGCUGUUGAAACGGGUGGACUUGAGGACGAGAGAGGGACAUGGAACUCCGGGUGGAGUGGUGAAAUGCGUAGAGAUCCGGAAGAACACCAAAGGCGAAGGCAGUGUCCUGGCUCGUGUCUGACGCUGAGGAGCGAGAGCUAGGGGAGCGAACAGG